RNAcentral lists this ribosomal RNA (897 nucleotides) under Micropsalliota sp. RNAcentral describes it as "partial large subunit ribosomal RNA". It matches the Rfam family "Eukaryotic large subunit ribosomal RNA", at positions 38 to 919 of the family's 3401-position model. Lineage: Eukaryota; Fungi; Basidiomycota; Agaricomycetes; Agaricales; Agaricaceae. The record is from RNAcentral.
ACAUAUCAAUAAGCGGAGGAAAAGAAACUAACAAGGAUUCCCCUAGUAACUGCGAGUGAAGCGGGAAAAGCUCAAAUUUAAAAUCUGGCAGUCUUUGGCUGUCCGAGUUGUAAUCUAGAGAAGUAAUGCCCGUGCUGGACCGUAUACAAGUCUCCUGGGAUGGAGCAUCAUAGAGGGUGAGAAUCCCGUCUUUGAUACGGACUACCAGUGCAUUGUGGUAUGCUCUCAACGAGUCGAGUUGUUUGGGAAUGCAGCUCAAAAUGGGUGGUAAAUUCCAUCUAAAGCUAAAUAUUGGCGAGAGACCGAUAGCGAACAAGUACCGUGAGGGAAAGAUGAAAAGAACUUUGGAAAGAGAGUUAAACAGUACGUGAAAUUGCUGAAAGGGAAACGCUUGAAGUCAGUCGCGUCUGCUGGGAAUCAGCCUCGCUCCUGCGUGGUGUACUUUCUGGUAUGACGGGUCAGCAUCAGUUUUGACCACUGGAAAAAGGUGUGGGGAAUGUGACAGCUCCGGCUGUGUUAUAGCCUCAUAUUGUAUACAGUGGUUGGGACUGAGGAAUGCAGCACGCCGCAAGGCCGGGUCUUCGGACCACGUUCGUGCUUAGGAUGCUGGCAUAAUGGCUUUAAGCGACCCGUCUUGAAACACGGACCAAGGAGUCUAACAUGCCUGCGAGUGUUUGGGUGGAAAACUCGAGCGCGCAAUGAAAGUGAAAGUUGAGAUCCCUGUCGUGGGGAGCAUCGACGCCCGGACCAGAACUUUUGGGACGGAUCCGCGGUAGAGCAUGUAUGUUGGGACCCGAAAGAUGGUGAACUAUGCCUGAAUAGGGUGAAGCCAGAGGAAACUCUGGUGGAGGCUCGUAGCGGUUCUGACGUGCAAAUCGAUCGUCAAAUUUGGGUAUA